Molecule: ribosomal RNA, 469 nt
Filed under: uncultured bacterium
Lineage: Bacteria
Description: partial 16S ribosomal RNA
Rfam family: Bacterial small subunit ribosomal RNA
Source: RNAcentral
GACGAACGCUGGCGGCGUGCUUAACACAUGCAAGUCGAACGGAAAGGCCCUGCUUUUGUGGGGUGCUCGAGUGGCGAACGGGUGAGUAACACGUGAGUAACCUGCCCUUGACUUUGGGAUAACUUCAGGAAACUGGGGCUAAUACCGGAUAGGAGCUCCUGCUGCAUGGUGGGGGUUGGAAAGUUUCGGCGGUUGGGGAUGGACUCGCGGCUUAUCAGCUUGUUGGUGGGGUAGUGGCUUACCAAGGCUUUGACGGGUAGCCGGCCUGAGAGGGUGACCGGCCACAUUGGGACUGAGAUACGGCCCAGACUCCUACGGGAGGCAGCAGUGGGGAAUAUUGCACAAUGGGCGGAAGCCUGAUGCAGCAACGCCGCGUGCGGGAUGACGGCCUUCGGGUUGUAAACCGCUUUCGCCUGUGACGAAGCGUGAGUGACGGUAAUGGAUAAAGAAGCACCGGCUAACUACGUGC